AGCGAACGCUGGCGGCAGGCUUAACACAUGCAAGUCGAGCGGGCGUAGCAAUACGUCAGCGGCAGACGGGUGAGUAACGCGUGGGAACAUACCUUUUGGUUCGGAACAACACAGGGAAACGUUAGUGCUAAUACCGGAUAAGCCCUUACGGGAAGGAUUAUCGCCGAAGAUUGGCCGCGUCUGAUUAGCUAGUUGGUGAGGUAACGGCUCACCAAGGCGACGAUCAGUAGCUGGUCNGAGAGGAUGAUCAGCCACAUUGGGACUGAGACACGGCCCAAA
RNAcentral lists this ribosomal RNA (279 nucleotides) under uncultured bacterium. Its description in RNAcentral is "partial 16S ribosomal RNA". It matches the Rfam family "Bacterial small subunit ribosomal RNA", at positions 29 to 335 of the family's 1533-position model. The record is from RNAcentral.